AUGAGUGUUUUCAAGUUCUCAGCAACCCUUUGUGAGGAGCUUAUGCACAUGACCAGAGACUUUUGGUGGGGAGAUGAUAAAGAUCGUCGACGUAUUCAUUGGUUGAGUUGGGAGAAACUUACAAAACGUAAAAGCCAAGGAGGUAUGGAAUUCAAAGAUCUUAAAGUUUUUAACCAGGCUCUUCUCGCUAGGCAAGCCUGA
This 201-nucleotide ribosomal RNA is filed under the name Triticum aestivum (bread wheat). Its description in RNAcentral is "partial small subunit ribosomal RNA". Lineage: Eukaryota; Viridiplantae; Streptophyta; Magnoliopsida; Poales; Poaceae. The record is from RNAcentral.